This 505-nucleotide ribosomal RNA is filed under the name uncultured bacterium. RNAcentral describes it as "partial 16S ribosomal RNA". It matches the Rfam family "Bacterial small subunit ribosomal RNA", at positions 29 to 523 of the family's 1533-position model. The record is from RNAcentral.
AGUGAACGCUGGCGGUAGGCCUAACACAUGCAAGUCGAACGGCAGCACAGGAGAGCUUGCUCUCUGGGUGGCGAGUGGCGGACGGGUGAGGAAUACAUCGGAAUCUACUCUGUCGUGGGGGAUAACGUAGGGAAACUUACGCUAAUACCGCAUACGACCUACGGGUGAAAGCAGGGGACCUUCGGGCCUUGCGCGAUUGAAUGAGCCGAUGUCGGAUUAGCUAGUUGGCGGGGUAAAGGCCCACCAGGGCGACGAUCCGUAGCUGGUCUGAGAGGAUGAUCAGCCACACUGGAACGGAGACACGGUCCAGACUCCUACGGGAGGCAGCAGUGGGGAAUAUUGGACAAUGGGCGCAAGCCUGAUCCAGCCAUACCGCGUGGGUGAAGAAGGCCUUCGGGUUGUAAAGCCCUUUGUUGGGAAAGAAAUCCAGCUGGCUAAUACCCGGUUGGGAUGACGGUACCCAAAGAAUAAGCACCGGCUAACUUCGUGCCAGCCGCCGCCGUAA